AAGGAUUUAAGUUAAAAACAAACUAAUAGCCUUCAAAGCUGUAAAUAGAAUAAGGUUUCUAGGCCUUA
RNAcentral lists this transfer RNA (68 nucleotides) under Latridiidae sp. 1 KM-2017. Its description in RNAcentral is "tRNA-Trp". The record is from RNAcentral. Lineage: Eukaryota; Metazoa; Arthropoda; Insecta; Coleoptera; Latridiidae.